Molecule: long non-coding RNA, 2081 nt
Organism: Oncorhynchus tshawytscha (Chinook salmon)
Lineage: Eukaryota; Metazoa; Chordata; Actinopteri; Salmoniformes; Salmonidae
Source: Ensembl
AUUUCUCCUGUCUUAUCUGGUGUCCUGUGUGAAUUUAAGUAUGCUCUCUCUAAUUCUCUCGAGGACCUGAGCCUCAGGACUACCUGGCAUGAUGACUCCUUGCUGUCCUCAGUCCACCUGGUUGUGUCGCUGCUGCAGUUUUAACUGUUCUGCCUGCGGCUAUGGAAUCCUGACCUGUUCACCGGACGUGCUACCUGUCCCAGACCUGCUGUUUUCCGACUCUCUACCGCACCUGCUGUCUCUAACUCUGAAUGAUCGGCUAUGAAAAGCCAACUGACAUUUACUCCUGAGGUGCUGACUUGUUGCACCCUCUACAACCACUGUGAUUAUUAUUAUUUGACCAUGCUAGUCAUCUAUGAACGUUUGAACAUCUUGGCCAUGUUCUGUUAUAAUCUCCACCCGGCACAGCCAGAAGAGGACUGGCCACCCCUCAGAGCCUGGUUCCUCUCUAGGUUUCUUCCUAGGUUCCGGCCUUUCUAGGGAGUUUUUCCUAGCCACUGUGCUUCUACACCUGCAUUGCUUGCUGUUUGGGGUUUUAGGCUGGGUUUCUGUACAGCACUUUGAGAUAUCAGCUGAUGUAAGAAGGGCUUUAUAAAUACAUUUGAUUUAGAGAAUUGCUUGUUGCGCCUGCUGCAAUGUAUCGUUCCAUUUCUCCAAAUGUCAAAUUUCUAAGAUAAAGAUUCAAAUUUAGGCACAUAUUCCAAAUGGUUAAGGUUUAGGUUAGGGUUUUAAAAAAGUGUCCACUACAGGGUUUAAACCUUCAGCUCAUGAGUCAUAGGAUUGAUCAUUGAAAUGCAUUCCAACUGUGUGAAUUACUUUUAUUUAGUGUUUGUCUUUUUACUGGGAUAGAACAUGCAACCUUCUGAUCCAAAGUCAGGAGAUUACCCCCGUCCAGAAACCCACGCAAAAUCCAAGUUUGAUGCUAAUAGCGCUCACUGUUGCCACCUAGUGGCUGGUUUCGAAGGCAUUUCCCAACGUCCAAUUUCGACAUCAAUCUUGAAAGACCUGACUGAGUCGACCUCGCCAAAAACUUUUAACUACUAUAACAUCUGGAAUAGAGUGUUCUUUCACUUUUUGCUUUGCCUUCUCUCAUCCCACAAUAGUCUGUCGUGUGUGUGUGUGUGUGUGUGUGUGUGUGGAUUUAUAGGGUUUAUUCACGGACAACAUUAGGAAAAAGCAAAUUAACAAAAUCUUUUUUUUUUGCAGAAUGUGACCGUUGCAUGAAUAGACCCCAUAAUUACCGCAAUACUACAUAAAUACGUGUACAGUACGUUCUCUCGGAGCGUUACCACUAUUGCUUUUGGAUCUAAAGGAUUAUUUAGGACUACUGUGCCUGUUCAGAGUUUCCAUGUUCACAGUAAAAAUUACAUUCGGCAGUGCUGAUUUGGAUAAGAUAUUUAGGAGUGUCAUGUGAAUGUACUGUAGCAGAGGAAUGGCUGCCUUGGACUGUAAGAGAAACUUGCCUGUCUUUAACAGCCCUACUUCCUGCCGUUUCUGAGAGUGCUGCAUCACUCCCUGAUAAAUCACAAUUUUAAAUAUAUAUUUUGUAAAUAAAUCCACCAGACUAGUGCACUUAGGCCUUUUAUUACUCCUGUAUGAGCUGACGCGAGCGUUUUACAAAAAAUGUACACGUAUGGGUUAUUCAAUCAUUGCACCAACACUGCUCGCAAGCGUCAACGAGCAUCUGCGUCACCAGGCGCUAAAAUAGAACUUGAUUCUAUUUGUGACGCUUGACGAGCUGCAAUUGCCAUCUCUCCCAUUUCCUCAUUGGUUUUUAGGAGCGUAUACCCACGUGGGUGAUUGAAAGAUGAACUGAGGUUCACACUCCAGUCCAGUUGGUGGUGGUAAUGCACCUUAAAGUUGGUUGCCAACCGCCAUAUAAAGUCCACAGAAGAAGAAGCCUGACGGAGGAGAAAUUACUAGGAUUUACACUUUUAUCUGUGGAUAAAUUCUCUGAGUAGAGGACCUUGUGCAUUUCAGGUUAAGCCCAUCUUCUCCCAGCUCAAUCAGUCAUGCCAUUUCAGGAAUGGCUGUCAGUGGAUGAGAGCAUGAUCUGAUACUAUGGCCGACAUGGAUGUAAG